UACGUAGGUGGCAAGCGUUGUCCGGAAUUAUUGGGCGUAAAGCGCGCGCAGGUGGUUUCUUAAGUCUGAUGUGAAAGCCCACGGCUCAACCGUGGAGGGUCAUUGGAAACUGGGGAACUUGAGUGCAGGAGAGAAGAGUGGAAUUCCACGUGUAGCGGUGAAAUGCGUAGAGAUGUGGAGGAACACCAGUGGCGAAGGCGACUCUGUGGCCUGUAACUGACACUGAGGCGCGAAAGCGUGGGGAGCAAACAGG
This 253-nucleotide ribosomal RNA is filed under the name uncultured bacterium. RNAcentral describes it as "partial 16S ribosomal RNA". It matches the Rfam family "Bacterial small subunit ribosomal RNA", at positions 524 to 776 of the family's 1533-position model. The record is from RNAcentral.